GAGAGAAGCAGAAAAAAAGAAGAAAAAAGAAAGCAAAAGAGGGAGUCUUUUUGUAGUAAAAUUGUGAUCUAAGAAGAUCUAACGGUCCGAUUUUUGAUUCGUAUAUGGAAACGUGAUCCUUACACUUGGAUCUACGUUUUUACCGAUCAUUUUUGAGGUGAUGAGCUUGUUAGAACUUGUUGAAGGCUACCCAAACCAUGGGUUUUGGUUUGGUGAGUUUUUGUGAUAUAUUGCAAGGUGGUGUGUAGAAGACCUAGUGAUUAACUCCGUGCAGCCAAGGUUCUGCGGAUAUAGAUAUUGACUCGUUCACUUAACAUACGGGAUGUUAUGAUUGGAGCACAUUACGACAGUCAUAAGUCACGGACUCAUAGGUAGUCCGCAUUUGGGUAUUUUAUUUAUGGCUCGUGUCAUACGUGGCAUAUGUAUUUGUUGAGCCUGUAUUUUAGUAUAUAGUCAAUGUAAUAUGUUUUAUAAGCCUUAAAUAGAUAGACUUGUAAAUGACUCUUCUUGUAAUUAACUGUUAUGUAUUAAAUGUAUUUUCGCUUAUAAUAUGUG
Long non-coding RNA from Alnus glutinosa, 555 nucleotides. RefSeq lists it as uncharacterized. The record is from RefSeq and is a predicted model, not a curated record. Lineage: Eukaryota; Viridiplantae; Streptophyta; Magnoliopsida; Fagales; Betulaceae. The transcript is spliced from 4 exons.